GGAAAGGAGGGCACGUGCGGCUGCGGGCGGAUGGACGGAGAGGACAGCGAGAGGGUGCCGGGGUCCCAGGCUGGGGCCUGUAACCUCUCUACCCUGGCCAGCUCCCACAUCCAGGGGACAAGUCCCUUCAGCGCACAGACGCCUCAGCAUCACACCAGCUGGCGCCCGAGCGGACAGCCCCCACAAGAGGGAGGGGGGGAGGAGAGGUACCUU
Molecule: long non-coding RNA, 213 nt
Filed under: Rattus norvegicus (Norway rat)
Lineage: Eukaryota; Metazoa; Chordata; Mammalia; Rodentia; Muridae
Description: long non-coding RNA NONRATT014850
Source: RNAcentral